GCCCGUCUAGCUCACCGGUAGAGCGCCUCACUAGUAGGCUCCUCUCUACUGAAAUGAGGAGGCAACAGGUUCGACUCCUGUGAUGGGCA
Non-coding RNA from Annulohypoxylon nitens, 89 nucleotides. Lineage: Eukaryota; Fungi; Ascomycota; Sordariomycetes; Xylariales; Hypoxylaceae. The record is from the annotation of a GenBank genome assembly.